This 253-nucleotide ribosomal RNA is filed under the name uncultured bacterium. RNAcentral describes it as "partial 16S ribosomal RNA". It matches the Rfam family "Bacterial small subunit ribosomal RNA", at positions 524 to 776 of the family's 1533-position model. The record is from RNAcentral.
GACAGAGGGUGCAAACGUUGUUCGGAAUUACUGGGCGUAAAGCGCGUGUAGGCGGUUAUGCAAGUCGGGUGUGAAAGCCCCGGGCUCAACUUGGGAAUUGCAGUGGAUACUGGCAAGCUGGAGUAUGGUAGAGGAAGGUGGAAUUCCCGGUGUAGCAGUGAAAUGCGUAGAGAUCGGGAGGAACACCAGUGGCGAAGGCGGCCUUCUGGACCAAUACUGACGCUCAUGCACGAAAGCGUGGGGAGCAAACAGG